GUGGGGAAUAUUGCGCAAUGGACGAAAGUCUGACGCAGCGACGCCGCGUGGGGGAUGAAGGUCUUCGGAUUGUAAACCCCUUUCGGCAGGGAAGAUGGAACGGGUAACCGUUCGGACGGUACCUGCAGAAGCAGCCACGGCUAACUUCGUGCCAGCAGCCGCGGUAAUACGAAGGUGGCAAGCGUUGUUCGGAUUCACUGGGCGUACAGGGAGCGUAGGCGGUUGAGUAAGCCCUCCGUGAAAUCUCCGGGCCUAACCCGGAAAGUGCAGAGGGGACUGCUCGGCUAGAGGAUGGGAGAGGAGCGCGGAAUUCCCGGUGUAGCGGUGAAAUGCGUAGAGAUCGGGAGGAAGGCCGGUGGCGAAGGCGGCGCUCUGGAACAUUUCUGACGCUGAGGCUCGAAAGCGUGGGGAGCAAACAGGAUUAGAUACCCCUGUAGUCC
This 440-nucleotide ribosomal RNA is filed under the name uncultured bacterium. Its description in RNAcentral is "bacterial SSU rRNA". It matches the Rfam family "Bacterial small subunit ribosomal RNA", at positions 354 to 796 of the family's 1533-position model. The record is from RNAcentral.